UGAGCCAAGUUUAGGGUUUUCUCAAAACCCAAGCAGUAUUGAACUGAAGAGUUUGAUCAUGGCUCAGAUUGAACGCUGGCGGCAGGCCUAACACAUGCAAGUCGAGCGGAUGAAGGGAGCUUGCUCCUGGAUUCAGCGGCGGACGGGUG
Molecule: ribosomal RNA, 149 nt
Filed under: Pseudomonas aeruginosa
Lineage: Bacteria; Pseudomonadati; Pseudomonadota; Gammaproteobacteria; Pseudomonadales; Pseudomonadaceae
Description: partial 16S ribosomal RNA
Rfam family: Bacterial small subunit ribosomal RNA (bases 41-149)
Source: RNAcentral